Molecule: ribosomal RNA, 497 nt
Filed under: uncultured bacterium
Lineage: Bacteria
Description: partial 16S ribosomal RNA
Rfam family: Bacterial small subunit ribosomal RNA
Source: RNAcentral
GACGAACGCUGGCGGCGUGCCUAAUACAUGCAAGUUGAGCGCUGAAGGUUGGUCCUUGUACCAACUGGAUGAGCAGCGAACGGGUGAGUAACGCGUGGGGAAUCUGCCUUUGAGCGGGGGACAACAUUUGGAAACGAAUGCUAAUACCGCAUAAAAACUUUAAACACAAGUUUUAAGUUUGAAAGAUGCAAUUGCAUCACUCAAAGAUGAUCCCGCGUUGUAUUAGCUAGUUGGUGAGGUAAAGGCUCACCAAGGCGAUGAUACAUAGCCGACCUGAGAGGGUGAUCGGCCACAUUGGGACUGAGACACGGCCCAAACUCCUACGGGAGGCAGAAGGAGGGAAUCUUCGGCAAUGGACGAAAGUCUGACCGAGCAACGCCGCGUGAGUGAAGAAGGGUUUCGGAUCGUAAAACUCUGUUGGUAGAGAAGAACGUUGGUGAGAGUGGAAAGCUCAUCAAGUGACGGUAACUACCCAGAAAGGGACGGCUAACUACGUG